AUGAACUGCCUCCCAAAACAUCCGGAGGAAAGACCCGGCAACUCAUCCAUGGUUCUCCACAGCAACAAGGGAGCACGUAACUGCUGCUGUGGCUGGAAGGGAGCGGCGAGAGAAAACCAAGAAACUCAAGUCAUAACAGGCAUCAUUUCAUCAUGUGACAGAAGUUACAAGCUGCAUUAUAAAAUGGGGAAUUGACUUUUAAAGGUACAGGUGUUUAGGCAGGGAGGUGCCAACUACAGAUGGCAUUUGGAAUUUGGUAAUCGUAGGAUCCAGUGCUUUUUUAAAUAAAACAUUCUGUAUCUCUUGUGAGUCUUAACUUUACAGAUGUGCAAUACUACUGUAAAUUGGCCCCACAUCUUGUGAGCCAAGAAAUAAAAAAAUUGACUAAACAAGUGUGAAAUGGCACAAAGUAUGUGGAAAUUCCCUGCAAUAUAAGACAAAUGUUCUGAAUCUAAGAACAAUUGAAGCUGCAAGUCGGGGUGUGUCAAUGUUCAAUCUGGUUUCAAGUCUUACAAAGGUUUCAUUGAUUUGGAAGUCCUGUACCCAUUUAUGAGCUGCCAACAGAAUUAGUAAACGGAAGGUGACGAGCCAUGUUGCUGUGGUCGGUAUGGCUCAGUAGACAAGAACACUGACUUUGGCUCAGUUGGUCGUGGGUUCAAGACCAACUCAUUGGAGCAUCUGUGGUAAAGGAGAGCUAGACAAUGUGCUUUCAGGUCUUUGGACGAUUUUGUAUGCAAUACCCACCUUCACCCAACAGAGGUAGAAAGAGAAGACGACGACCGGAAAUUGCUGUGGCUUGUGUGGCACAAUGAACAAGAACACUGACUUUGGAUCAGUAGGUUCGAGGGUUCAAGACCGACUCGCGGAGGAGUGGUAAGACCGUUUAACGGAGGUGUUGCGCAUGGUGGGAAAGAAUUGACUUUGGCUCAGUAGGUUCAAGAGUUCAAAUCCGAUUCAGGGAGAUAUAAGCAUCCAGUGUCUGUAUUGACAGCUAAAGGUCGAUGGGGUAUAACAUGCUACGGCAAGGGGGAGCCAGGACUUUAGGUAGGAGGGGGGAAUCAUCAUUAUCCCUGUUAAUAUGUAAAUAAUUGAAUUGGAAGUCUAAGUACCUCCUAGAAGAUACCUUAAGAUGAAAACCCCAGAUAAGAGAAAGUCUCAACGCCCCUGACAGUCUCUAGUUGGUAAUCCAGCGCUGGGAUGCACAGGUUAGUCCAGGGACAGAUGAACAGAACCCUGAACGUGGUUGGUUCUUCUUUUUUAAUAUAUAGUUGAUAUAAUACUAUAUAUAGUAGUGUGUAUUUGAUAAUAGUUAUAGUAUUAUUAUGAUAAUAAUACUAUAACUAUUAUUACCAAGAAAACAUCUAUCAACUGUCUUAAGAAAGUUUAUAUAUAUAAUAAUAUAUCUAUCUAUAUAUCUAUCUAUAUAUAUCAACUGUCUUAAUAAGACAGUUGUUAGGUAAAACUGUCUUAAGACAGUUGAUUAGACCUUUCUUAACAACUGUCUGGGGUUAUCAUCCAAGGUAUCUUCUAGGAGGUACUUUGACUUCCAAUUCAAUUAUUUACUUACAUACACUGAAACAUAUUAAUUUACAGGGAUAAUGAUAAUUCCCCCCACACUUCAGCUGUGAAUACAGUCACUGGAUGCUUAUAUCUCCCUGCAUUGGAUUUGAACCCUCGGAACCUACCUGAUCCAAAGUCAGUGUUCUUGUCCACUGUGCCACACCAGCCACAAUAAUUUUGUUUGUCAUCUUCCCUUUCUAGCUCUGUUGGGUGAAGGUGGGUAUUGCAUACAAAAUCGUCCAAAGACUUGAAAGCACAUUGUUUGACUUCCCUUUGCCACAGAUUCUCCCUGAGACGGUAUUGAACCCUCGACCUACUGAACCAAAGUCAGUGUUCUUGUCCACUGAGCCACACCGGCUACAGCGAUGUCACUUGUCACCUUUCCUUUCUAUCAAUAAAUGAGUGCGAGUAUAGCACGCAAAAACAGACCAGGUUGAGUCAAAUUUCACUUCAGUGGAACUCCAUCCAAAGCUUCCUCUUGCCGUUGCUUAUUUUAUUGUACUUCAUCAAGCAUGUAGCUAUGGAUACAGACACUGGAUGUGUCCCGAAUCUCUGAGGUGAACCACCUCAGAGAACCCCUCCCUCGACUUCCCGAACCAAGGUCAGUGUUCUUGAAAAUGAUCCAUUAAGUACCUUUGCAUGGCCUGUAAAAGAUAUUUAAGUAUUAUGGGUUCAGAAGGUGAGCUGUUCUCUAUCACUCGCAUGUGGACAGAAAAUAUCAACAGGUGUCUGCUUUGAAAGUAAUCCGUUACUAGCUAGGAGGUCUUAUGAACAGGGACACUGCACAUUUCCAGAGAAUGGCUAAUCUGGCAGUACCCUCGCCAAUCAGUGGAUUACAGACAUUUUCCAGUUGGAGACAUUUGUUUUGGUGUAUUUCGGCGAUAGAAAGUUUCAUCAACCCCAGCCAUCAUCAUCAUUGAGAUCACUUUGCAUAGCUGACGAUUGGAAUUUUGAAUGAUGUGGAUACCAAAUUCAGAUUUCUCUUUUUGCCGUCCGACACUUUGGAAUUGCCUUGCGGCAUCAAAAAAAGAAACAAGCUCUAGACUGUGUGCAGAAUGAGCACAGCUUGAAAUACCACUCCAUCUCAGCAGAGACCUUUGAUGUCUGAUGUUCUUUAAUGAAACAUCUCGCUCACAUCAGAGCACCCUAUUAAAUUCCGCUCAUACAGGGAGAGCGAGAGAACGAGUGAGAUUGAGAAAGCCAGAGCUCUGACCUUUUUGAGUGUGUGUGUGUGUGUGCGACAGUGAAAAAGAAAAGGAGGGAAUGAAACAACGGUGGCUUCAAACGCGGCCAGAUCACACAAAGGAGAAGAAACUGUCGAAACACACUUCAAAAGUACUUUAUUAAGCAUUAUCAUAAACUCCGUAGGUCAAAUCUACAUCACAGUGUCUACUUACAUCACAGUUUACUUUAUGUGUUUACACAAAUAUGGCAAGCACAGCAAGAUUGGAAAUAAAAACUUAUGUUGAGCUAAAGAUUAACAUUCGUUUUCUGCUAAGAAAUCUCUUCAUGAUAUCCGUGGUGUUUGUUGGGGUUGGUGCACAGUAGCGUUUUUUUCCAGGGAUGUAUAAUUUUGGUUUGGAUAAAAUCGGAAAUGAAAUCUCUCUCUUACAGGGAGAGCUUGAGGUUACACGACUGCAAAUCUUGACCCAUGAAAAAGAAAUGGCUAUGUAGCCAAAAGGCCUCCGUUGUAUAAUGCAAGCCAUGGGUGGAGCUCCUUUGGCUUAGUUACUGUAGCUUACAAGACUUGCAAUAUGAUUAAAGGUCCAAGAGUAAAGGGGAUCUGUUGACAAAAAUUGAGUAUAUUUUUUAUAAUAAUAAUGGGUGUACAAUCACCUUAAACUAAGAAUUGUUACAUUUUAUUAAUUUCAUUCAAUUUUUUAAACUUAAAUUGAGUCCUGUUUAUCUACUAAGGAGGCAGUCCCUCCUUCCACAGAGUCCACCAUUUUGCACUGCUGUGUGUGUGUGUGUGUGUGUGUGUGUGUGUAAGGAUUCAAAAGCGUAAGUCUUUCAAAGAGCGUCACUGCAGAUUGCAGAAGAGAGCUCUGAAGGUGAAGCAUUAUAAACAUCCAGAGUGAGCAUUAACUAAACAGGAGUGGAUUCAAAGAGCAGACAAAGCUUUUAAGGUGUUAAAAGUUAGAGAGUGCGUGUGUGUGAGUGCAUUAUAGAAAGGUGUGUGUGUGUGUGUGUGUGUGUGUGGGUGUGUGCGCCUGUCUUUGCUUAUAUAUAGAUGCUUGUUUUAGCAGUGUGUUUGCUGUAGCGAGGGAGCAUCCGCAAAAGAGCACAAGUGAGGCUACCGCAC
RNAcentral lists this long non-coding RNA (3862 nucleotides) under Scophthalmus maximus (turbot). RNAcentral's name for it is "lncRNA (ENSSMAG00000028577.1)". Lineage: Eukaryota; Metazoa; Chordata; Actinopteri; Pleuronectiformes; Scophthalmidae. The record is from RNAcentral.